RNAcentral lists this ribosomal RNA (216 nucleotides) under Glomeromycotina sp. RNAcentral's name for it is "partial small subunit ribosomal RNA". The stretch from base 40 to 216 matches the Rfam family "Eukaryotic small subunit ribosomal RNA", at positions 686 to 864 of the family's 1831-position model. Lineage: Eukaryota; Fungi; Glomeromycota. The record is from RNAcentral.
GGGUCAGUGGGUUGGUCGUGCCACCGGUACGUACUGGUCUCACUGAUUCCUCCUUCCUGAAGAACCGUAAUGCCAUUAAUUUGGUGUUGCGGGGAAACAGGACUGUUACUUUGAAAAAUUUAGAGUGUUUAAAGCAAGCUAACGCUUGAAUACAUUAGCAUGGAAUAAUGAAAUAGGACGAUCGAUCCUAUUUUGUUGGUUUCUAGGAUUGACGUA